Molecule: ribosomal RNA, 429 nt
Filed under: Acidobacteriota bacterium
Lineage: Bacteria; Pseudomonadati; Acidobacteriota
Description: Acidobacteria bacterium partial 16S ribosomal RNA
Rfam family: Bacterial small subunit ribosomal RNA
Source: RNAcentral
UGGGGAAUUUUGGACAAUGGGGGCAACCCUGAUCCAGCCAUCCCGCGUGUGCGAUGAAGGCCUUCUGGUUGUAAAGCACUUUUUGCCGGAAAGAAACGUCAUGGGUUAAUACCCCGUGCAACUGACGGUACCUGCAGACUACGCACCGGCCAACUCCGUGCCAGCAGCCGCGGUAAUACGUAGGGUGCAAGCGUUAAUCGGAAUUACUGGGCGUAAAGCGUGCGCAGGCGGUUCGGAAAGAAAGAUGUGAAAUCCCAGAGCUCAACUUUGGAACUGCAUUUUAAACUACCGGGCUAGAGUGUGUGAGAAGGAGGUGGAAUACCGCGUGUAGCAGUGAAAUGCGUAGAUAUGAGGAGGAACACCGAUGGCGAAGGCAGCCUACUGAGAUAACACUGACGCUCAGGCACGAAAGCGUGGGGAGCGAACAGG